ACUUGCAGCUAGCUACUCAUGACUAAGUGCCUAAAUUUAGAUGUUCAUCAUCAUCAGUGUUGCAAGAUACUGUAAAGUUUGAUCCCCGAGAGGCUGACCCCUGAAGGACCUGGUGGGAUACCUGUUAGCCCGGGACAUGUUGAAGCCUCACAACUCCAUCUCCUGGUAUUGGAUGCUGAAGAGAAGACCUGUCUCAGAAAAAGGGAGCAAAGAUUUGUGGCCUUUAAAACACUGCCUCAGUAUGCUGUGCAAACCCUUAUUGUGAUAAUAAUUGUCUUUUGGAAUUUGUGUACAGAACACUAAAGAUAGGAAGGAGCUCUCUGACAACUCACCUGUUUGAGCAGGGCUGCAGAAUGCAGUUUGGAAGAACAGUGCUCCACCAUUCAAGACAUGUUGGUUUGGAAGAAAGUUCUGUCUUGAGGUGGGACAGGAAAACUGCUGAAGUGUUUCAUAGCCAAUGCUCAUUUUGCUUCUUUUGUCUGAAGACAGUGAUGUUGUCCUCUUAUCCUGCUAGAAAACUAAAGCUUACAUCACUUCCAGCUUGCAAGCUAAGUGCAUAUAUGCAUAAAAUUCUAAAUGCCUUAAGAAACAGUAAUGUCAUGGCAUGGGAGGUUUAUAAAAAAUAUAAAACAGCUCAGAAAGGGUUAUUGUGAAAUGAUUAGUGCCUCUGACACUUCCAGUUACAAGACCUAGGAGACAUAUAAUUACAUCAGUAGGUGGAAAGUUCAAAAUGAUGGAGGUGUUUUUACAUAUCAUGUGGAUAAUCUGCAUAACCCCUUGAGUCUGGAGGCUGUGAAUACUGAGAAUUCACAUGGCUUCAAAAAAACAACCAGAGAAAUUCAAUGAAGAAACCACCAGCAUCCAUUAAAAGUAAAGACAACACCCCUUGUUCAGAAAGUCUGAGCUGCACGUUCUUGAGGCAGGGAAAGAAGCUGGGGGAAAGACGACUCCCUUCUUCCCUCUUGUGCUGUUCAGCUGCUGUUGGCAACAGUCAGGAACAUGGCACAGCACACAACAAACCCAUGGUCUGACUCAGUAAAACUCGUCUUGCAUUCUUAUGUCAUGCUACAUUAUUGAAUAGAAUCAUAAAACUACUGUAAAGACCCAUUGUAGCUGAGAAAGAUGAAGGGCUGGAGAACCUGCUCCAUGACUCAUUUCUUUACUUUGGUUGUUCAUUGGAGUGGUUUUUUACACCAUAAGUGUUGUAGGUCUGGACCAUUAUGUAUUUCUUUUUCAAUCAUUGCUGAAAUCUUAAGGAAUUUGCUAAGGUGUGGCAGUGGUUGAAUAGAAACCUCACAGUUUCCCCAGGGUUUUUUCACAAAGAUCCAUGGCACGUACAAGCAUCUUGAAAUGGAGCAUCCAUUUGUUUGAUUAUGCUCCAAGCCAACAAAAGAGCCAGAUAAAGCUAAAACAAUUUGCAUUAUCUGAAGCUUACAUAUAUGUAAUCUUGUCAAAUAAAAGCCACAACAAGCUUGGUAGAACAAAGGACAGAGGGAGAUCCUUAUGCUGGUUGUAGAGGGAACAGCUAAAGCCUUGAUCCCUCCUAUCAAAGGCAGUAUGUUCAAAAAAGCUGGGAAAGAUGCCCAUGUUCAAGCAAAUUUUUACUUGCCUGUAACAUAAAGCAAGUUAUUGUCAUGGUAAAGUAACAGGCUUUAAAAAUGGUAGAAAUGUGCAUAUAUGUAUAUGUACAUACUCAUAUGUUAUAUACACAUGUAGUUAUUAUCCCUUACAAGAGGAAAGCAUAUUAUCAUAUGAUUAUCCACAGUGAGGGGCUGCUGGAGAGCUCGAAGCUCUCUGUGUUCUUGCACUUGCAGAGCUCUCCGCUGCAGCCCAAAGGUCCUUCCCACUGUAUGCUCUUUGCCUUCCUAAAUUCAAAUCUAUUGCUUUAAAAAGAAGUUAUUUUGCAAAGCACAAAGAUGUAUUUUAAUAAAAUAGUUCUAACCAAAUUGCUGACGGCAGGACAAUUCUGCAGCUUCACAAUAGGAACUGUAGGGUUCCUGCUGCCUGAUAAACACAUGAUAAAUUGCAAACCUCCUGCUUCUAUCCCACAAGCUCAGAGUGUUGAGUGAUCACCAUUGUUUCUCUGAUUUAUUUUCAUGCCUACUGGUGCCCAUAUAAAAUCUCAGUCUAUUUAUGCUCAGGCUUCCUCCAAUUUUUUCAUGGAUUAUGUAGCACAACGAUCAGAUUGACAAUUAAUGUAAACAUAUAUCACGGAUGUGAAUUACAUUUUAAUUCUCUGAGUCCAUCACAUCUGUCAUCUCUAUUUGUGUGAUUGCCUUAGCUAUCUGACUAUUAACUCCACCAGCACGGCUCUAGAGAACUGUUUGCUCAGGCUUCCACAAGACCUGGGUCUGCAGAGUUCUUAUAUUUACAUAAAUGAAAAAUCUUCUGGUUUCACCCAAAUUUUGCAUUGUUGUUCAUGCGAAAAAAGUAAGGGGUUAAACCUGUUGCUGUUGCUUGAGUAUGCCUGGAAGGUACCCUCAAGCACUGGUAACACACAAGGACUUGUUUUCACACAGAUCUCACAGCUCUUUCAACAGAUCCUUGGGGGCAGUGGUUGCUGGACUUUCACCACUGUUUAGACAAGGAAUUCGUGGAAUUUCGAUUAUUUGCAUGUAACUUUGGGGGAUCUUAACCAAAGUCCACUGAACAUAAGAGCCUGAUAAUGGCUGAGAUAGGAUUUGCUUACAGCUCAAGAGUGAAUUUCUUUGCCUUGAGCACUGUGAAAUCUUAAUUGAUCAGAUUAAAAAAUGCCAUCAUAAGAAAAACAAGAAGUAGAAAAGAGUAUGUAUCUGCAGACAUAGGGGCCUACAUGAGACCCUUGCAGUGCUAGCCAGUCUUUGUCUAAACUGCAACCCUGCCAGGCCAUAGGAAUAAUUUGAUGGCUUUUGUUCCUCAAUAAAGAGACUUGAACACCUUUGAACCUAGAAAAAAAGAACACAUCAACGAUUUCUUUCCAAGAUCCAUCAGUUAACCAGUUUUUAAUCUAUUUAGUAUGUGCUUCAGUGAUUCAGUUAAAUGUUUUAAUCGGGAUGUCAUGUUGUAUUAAGUGAAAGAACCUGUGGAAAUCUGUGUGUGUUAUGUCAGCUGUCACUUUUUAUUAACUAAGGCCUACCAAAAAUGCUAGCAAUAUUUUUCUAGUAAGUGCUAACAUUUAAAAAUUUACAUUUUACGAGGAUCCUAUUGCUCUCAUUAAAGAGUGCUGAUAGUGUUUACUGCAUCUGCAUCCCACAUUCAUCAAUUCUUUACAGUAACAUGCUCAAUAUAUGCUAUGGUUUUGCUCAGGAUCAAUGCUAGCCUAACAAGCCUGCCAUUAGCCAUGUAAUACCUUUUAGGCUUUUGAGCCCUUGCCCACCAUUAACAUUUCAGCUAUUCAAAUGCAUGCAUCGUUGUGCAGCAUCAAACACAGAGUACUUCCAUGAAAAGGUGCAUCUUCAUGAAGAUUGGUCGUUUCUGCAUGCAAAAAUUUCAGCUCUACCAAAAGCACUACCAAAGAUUUUGCAGAUAUAGUGAAGGUAAACAGCAUAUAUGCUAAAUUUUGAUGCAGUCUCUGGCUCAUAACACCUGCAGUUAAUGCUAGCAUUGUUCAGUGAAGUUUAAGAUGUGCAUACGUUGGUUAUCAUUCACACAGUAUUUUGAAUAUACAAAUAACACUACAUAAUUCUGCUGAUUUAGUAGAGACAGUAGAGACAUGAGCCACUCGAGGCAUUACAAGACCUUGGUGAGAAGAGGAAAACUCUAGCUCAAAGCUGAUGUCCUACGGUGACAAACAGGGUCCUGGUUCAUCAAACAAAACAAAAACCAAAACAAACAAACAAACAAAAAUACUACAACAAAAAACACCUUAUGAUUACUCAGACAUUUACAAAAUACUGUAAAGCCUAACUUGUGGCAUGACUACAAGAAAAGGACACAUGCAAUGACACUGAGCGAUCGACUCAAAUACGCUAUAAAAUAACAGUCCCAAAAUAGUAAACCUUGCGAUGAAUUAUUAAAGUUGCUUAUUUUAACAUUUUAUUUACUGAAUUUUGCAUUAUUAAAAUUACAAAUCAUCAACUCACA
Long non-coding RNA from Gallus gallus (chicken), 4062 nucleotides. RefSeq lists it as uncharacterized. The record is from RefSeq and is a predicted model, not a curated record. The transcript is spliced from 2 exons. Lineage: Eukaryota; Metazoa; Chordata; Aves; Galliformes; Phasianidae.